GAUUUUGUGCCACCCACCCAUGAGAGACCAUAAAGGCUGUUGUUACCCGGCCUGGGCUAGCAGGCUCCACACCAUGGUGUUUUCCCUCCUGGCCACUCAGCACAGUUCACAAAGUGCAUGUCUUUUCACAAAUAAUCUUUUGAUAGUUUUUAUAUGACACAAUCCUUAUUGUAUUUAUAACACGACUGUAGGGCCAUGAAAUCGAAUUACUGAAGUAAUAUAUUGCCUCUUGUCCGUCGAUGUUUCUACAUCAUGACUUUUUAGCUGUGAAGUUGGUGAAUGGAUUCUUACAACCAUCUCCCAUUUUUACCAGCAGGUUUAACGUUUUUAUUUAAAUGCCGGAGAAUCCCUUCCCUUCGUUAAGAAUGUUGCAGCAUUUGAAAUGAACUGGUUCAAUGUGCAUGCUACACACACAUGUGGAUUAAAUUCUUCUCUUAUGUAAUUAUAAAUAUUCCCCAGCCGUCCAGUUCCUGUUCUCCCCUUGUGUAGCCCGAGCAUCUCAUCAUGUUAACUUGGCACCGUCUCUUAGGACAUAACUGAGGACAGUUAAUGUUUAGCGGGGUAUCUGGAAAAUUCUUAAUUUGCUAACGUGUGUAUCUACUCAUGACGGCAGUGUAAGCAACACAGUUUACCAAUGUAUUCCAACAAUUAAAUAUUUUUAUCCCUCUUUACCU
RNAcentral lists this long non-coding RNA (674 nucleotides) under Rattus norvegicus (Norway rat). RNAcentral describes it as "long non-coding RNA NONRATT026621". Lineage: Eukaryota; Metazoa; Chordata; Mammalia; Rodentia; Muridae. The record is from RNAcentral.